UCUUAAUUAGAGGAUAGUAUGAAAGGUGAGACAGAUAGGGUCAGGUUUUGAAUUUAAAUUUUUAAUUUAGUCGAUCGGUUAAAAUCCCGAUCUUUUAUUCAGGGACGAGAAGACCCUAUAAAGUUUAACUUUUAAGCCUAGUUGAUAAGGUUAUAGAGUUUUGUUGGGGCAAUACUGUAAGAUAGGAUCUUACUGUUAUGAUCUUUUAUUAAAAUUUAUUUGAGCUACUAUUAGUACUAGUAGUAUAAAUUACCUUAGGGAUAACAGCACAAUUAAGACUCUUAAGUUCAAAUUUACAGUCUUGAUUAUGACCUCGAUGUUG
Molecule: ribosomal RNA, 322 nt
Filed under: Cyphophthalmus sp. 14 JM-2009
Lineage: Eukaryota; Metazoa; Arthropoda; Arachnida; Opiliones; Sironidae
Description: partial 16S ribosomal RNA
Source: RNAcentral